CCUACGUGUCGCAGCAGUGAGGAAUAUUGGUCAAUGGACGAGAGUCUUAACCAGCCAAGUAGCGUGAAGGAUGACUGCCCUAUGGGUUGUAAACUUCUUUUAUAUGGGAAUAAAAUGUUCCACGUGUGGGAUUUUGUAUGUCCCAUAUGAAUAAGGCUCGGCUAACUCCGUGCCAGCAGCCGCGGUAAUACGGAGGAUCCGCGCGUUAUCCGGAUUUAUUGGGUUUAAAGGGAGCUUAGGUGGAUUGUUAAGUCAGUUGGGAAAGUUUGCGGCUCAACCGUAAAAUUGCAGUUGAAACUGGCAGUCUUGAGUACAGUAGAGGAGGGCGGAAUUCGUGGUGUAGCGGUGGAAUGCUUAGAUAUCACGAAGAACACCGAUUGCGAAGGCAAUUCACUGGACUGCAACUGACACUGAGGCUCGAAAGUGUGGGUAUCAAACAGGAGUAGAUACCCUUGUAGUC
RNAcentral lists this ribosomal RNA (460 nucleotides) under uncultured bacterium. RNAcentral's name for it is "partial 16S ribosomal RNA". It matches the Rfam family "Bacterial small subunit ribosomal RNA", at positions 338 to 795 of the family's 1533-position model. The record is from RNAcentral.